This 402-nucleotide ribosomal RNA is filed under the name uncultured bacterium. RNAcentral's name for it is "bacterial SSU rRNA". It matches the Rfam family "Bacterial small subunit ribosomal RNA", at positions 356 to 773 of the family's 1533-position model. The record is from RNAcentral.
GGGGAAUAUUGCGCAAUGGGCGAAAGCCUGACGCAGCGACGCCGCGUGUGGGAUGACGGCCUUCGGGUUGUAAACCACUGUCGCGAGGGACGAAGCUCUGACGGUACCUCCAAAGGAAGCACCGGCUCACACUGUGCCCGCAGCCGCGGUAAUACAGAGGGUGCGAGCGUUGUCCGGAAUCACUGGGCGUAAAGGGCGCGUAGGUGGCCUGAUAAGUAGGGGGUGAAAUCUCGAGGCUCAACUUCGAGGCUGCCUCCUAAACUGUCAGGCUUGAGCAGAGUAGAGGCAGGUGGAAUUCCCGGUGUAGCGGUGGAAUGCGUAGAGAUCGGGAAGAACAUCGGUGGCGAAGGCGGCCUGCUGGGCUCUUGCUGACACUGAUGCGCGACAGCGUGGGGAGCAAAC